Molecule: ribosomal RNA, 924 nt
Filed under: uncultured fungus
Lineage: Eukaryota; Fungi
Description: SSU rRNA
Rfam family: Eukaryotic small subunit ribosomal RNA
Source: RNAcentral
UUGUGCCAGCAGCCGCGCUAAUUCCAGUUCCAAUAGCGUAUAUUAAAGUUGUUGUGGUUAAAAAGCUCGUAGUUGAACCUUGGGCCUGGCUGGCCGGUCCGCCUCACCGCGUGCACUGGUCCGGCCGGGCCUUUCCCUCUGUGGAACCCCAUACCCUUCACUGGGCGUGGCGGGGAAACAGGACAUUUACUUUGAAAAAAUUAGAGUGCUCCAGGCAGGCCUAUGCUCGAAUACAUUAGCAUGGAAUAAUAAAAUAGGACGCGCGGUUCUAUUUUGUUGGUUUAUAGGACCGCCGUAAUGAUUAAUAGGGACAGUCGGGGGCAUCAGUAUUCAACUGUCAGAGGUGAAAUUCUUGGAUCAGUUGAAGACUAACUACUGCGAAAGCAUUUGCCAAGGAUGUUUUCAUUAAUCAGGAACGAAAGUUAGGGGAUCGAAGACGAUCAGAUACCGUCGUAGUCUUAACCAUAAACUAUGCCGACUAGGGAUCGGACGGUGUUAUUCAUGACCCGUUCGGCACCUUACGAGAAAUCAAAGUGCUUGGGCUCCAGGGGGAGUAUGGUCGCAAGGCUGAAACUUAAAGAAAUUGACGGAAAGGGCCACCACCAGGGGUGGAAGCCUGCGGCUUAAUUUGACUCAACACGGGCAAACUUCACUAGGGUCCAGACACAAUAAGGAUUGACAGAAUUGAGAGCUCUUUCUUGAUUUUGUGGGUUGGGGGUGGCAUGGCCGUUCUUAAGUUGGUGGGUGACUUGUCUGCUUAAAUUGCGAUACGAAACGAAGACUUAAUCUUGCUAAAUAAGCCCGCAUGGUCCGGCAGUGCGCCUGGCUUCUUUAAGAGGGACUUUCGGGUCCAGACGAAGAAGUUGGAGGGCAUUAUAUGGUCUGUGAAUGCCCUAAAAUUGUUCUGGGGCGCAACGCGCGCCU